RNAcentral lists this ribosomal RNA (253 nucleotides) under uncultured bacterium. Its description in RNAcentral is "partial 16S ribosomal RNA". It matches the Rfam family "Bacterial small subunit ribosomal RNA", at positions 524 to 776 of the family's 1533-position model. The record is from RNAcentral.
UACGUAGGCAGCGAGCGUUGUUCGGAGUUACUGGGCGUAAAGAGUGCGUAGGCGGUUUGCUAAGACAGGUGUGAAAUCCCCGGGCUUAACCUGGGAACUGCGCUUGUAACUGGCAAGCUGGAGUGUGGCAGAGGGGGGUGGAAUUCCACGUGUAGCAGUGAAAUGCGUAGAGAUGUGGAGGAACACCGAUGGCGAAGGCAGCCCCCUGGGCUAACACUGACGCUCAUGCACGAAAGCGUGGGGAGCAAACAGG